This 579-nucleotide ribosomal RNA is filed under the name Triticum aestivum (bread wheat). RNAcentral describes it as "partial small subunit ribosomal RNA". Lineage: Eukaryota; Viridiplantae; Streptophyta; Magnoliopsida; Poales; Poaceae. The record is from RNAcentral.
AUGAAUGAUGUUGUCUUGGAGCCUCCUGUUGUUGAUGAGACCAGUCAUAAUGUUGAGGUUGCUGUUGAUCGUGGAAUUAAUGAUCCAUAUACUGAUAAGUGCAAGGGUCCUGUUGUUGGCGACGAGCCUUUUUCAACCAUUGGUGAUGUUCCUUUGAAUGUUAGUAGCAGCAAGAUUGAUGAUGUUGCUGUGAAUGCUGCUAAGAUGACUGAUGUUGAGCGUGAGGCUGCUGUUAGUGGUGGAGAUGAUGCUUGUGGUGUUCCAUUGAGUAGUGGGUGCGAUGUUGGUACCAAAGUUGGUGAUGAGGUUGUUGGUGCUGCCAGCAUACUUGAUGCCAAAUCGUCUGGUGUUGGAUUGCUGGGAAUGAAAAUCUUUCUGAUUGUGAAGAUUUGCCGCCGGAAAAUUUCCCGCCUGGAGGGCUUGAUUACGGUGAUGCAUUGCAAGAUGCCUCUAGUGUGGAGGAGGAACUCCCGUCGUCAAACUUUGAUAGUGCAGAAGGCGCUAAUGCGACUAAGGUUGAUUUGUUUUUCUUCGCUGUUACGAGGUUGCGCACGAACCGUGCGAAAUGUAACAAGCUAG